RNAcentral lists this long non-coding RNA (281 nucleotides) under Elaeis guineensis (African oil palm). RNAcentral describes it as "long non-coding RNA (EGUI_LNC023121)". The record is from RNAcentral. Lineage: Eukaryota; Viridiplantae; Streptophyta; Magnoliopsida; Arecales; Arecaceae.
UCACGCCGACUCAUCGUCGGGCCUAUAUGACCGACGCCCGACUCUGCCGACCGACCGACCGACGGCUGCCGUUACCGACCGACCGAGGAUACGUCGGUCGGGCAGACCUUCUCCUCUCUCCCGACCGGCUGCACUAUGGAGUUCGACGCCCGACUCUGGCAACGCGCCCGACUGACUGUCGGAGGGGCCCCGAGUUUCCACCCGACGUCCCUCAAACAGCCGUCGACCUAUAGUCGGUCGGCUCCCCCAGAUGCCGUACGGCUGUCGGAAACUGUCAGCCC